RNAcentral lists this long non-coding RNA (5354 nucleotides) under Homo sapiens (human). Its description in RNAcentral is "small nucleolar RNA host gene 14". Lineage: Eukaryota; Metazoa; Chordata; Mammalia; Primates; Hominidae. The record is from RNAcentral.
GAGGUCCAGCACUGGGACCAUGCCAGGCAAACAUGAGGAGGGAGUUUACAGGGACUAGGAUUGGGUGAGAUACAAUUCCAUGGAAUUUUACCACUGAACCAGUGGAGGGCUAAUUUUGUCAUUUGUACCAGUUAACUAACUUGGGAGGAAACAGAACAACACACUCCUGAGGGUAAAAUGGAAACUCUGAGAGUUUGGUUGGCGGCAUCUAUAUACCAUAGAAACAGAGCCUGGGAAGCAGAACAGUGAGACCCAAGAGAAAUGUUCCUGCCUAUACUUGAUUGGUUUUCACAGAAUUCCAUGGACUUUAACUGCUGAACCAAUGAUGCACUGAUUUUGUCACUUGUACCAGCUAACGCAUCUGGGAGGCAACAAAACAAUACUCUCCUGAGGUUAAUGUGGACCAAAAACUAGAUUUCAUAUAAAAGAGUUUAUUCCUUCUACUUGAGGUGUGACAUGAAGGAAAGUAAUGGAAAUAAUUCUGCCCUCCCAUUCUCAAGGGCCAGGGGGAAUUCAAAUAUUGAACGGAAGUGAUUUUGGAAUUGCAUGGAAUUCUCACUGCCAUCCCAAAGAAAUGCUGAUCUUGUCACUCUUACCUGUUUCAUUCCCUGGGGGCAGAACAAAAGGACGCACUCCAAAGAUCGGCAUGAACCAAGAACUGGGUUUCAUAUAAAAUAUUUUAUUCUGUCCUCUUGAGAUGUGACAUGAGAAAAGUAUUGAGAAUACUUCUAUCACCUCAUCUUCAAGAAUCCGUAGGAAUUCUCCCAUGGUGGACUUUACGGUUAACCUGAACAGGUCUUGGAAAAAGGACUUUAAACAUUCUCCUGUUCUGUGGAAUAAGUAUACUUUUUUCUGGACAUACACCUUGUCAGUGAGUUCCAUGUGAUACUAGAGUUGCAUAGAUUUUUAACCUUUACGCCAAUGAAGAUCUGAGGCAAACAUUGCCCCUUUUUUAGAAGUUUGCAUUUGUCACUGAUAACUGUAAUAAUUGAUCUUGUUGAAAAGCCUGGGAAAUGAAGAUCUGAUAUGUCACUUUUACCGGCUUCCUCAACUGAAAAAGAAUACAAUGAAACACGCUGAGAAUUUUUGUGCUUUCUCAGUCUUGCUGAUGAUCUUUCUAUGGGCCUGAAGCGUGGAGAGUGCCAGAGAGGCUGAUCCUCAGCAGUGUGGCAGAGGAAAGUUGGGUGCGACUAAGGGGUAUGCGGUGCCCACAUGCCACUGGGUCCUCAGCAGUACCACCUGAUUGGAAGUGAUAUUGGUGGAAGACAACAUUUUGCCGCUUGGAAUUCUCACCUCCACACCAAAGAAGUACUGUUUUUGUCAUUUGCACCAGCUUCUUUCUCCAGGAAAGAUCAAAACGAUGCACUGCAAGUGUGAUUGGUCCAGAUAGCUGCCUUAUCCAACUGCCUCCUUUGGACCACUUCAUCAUGGGACAGCUUGAUGCAAUCUACUUGACAAGACCCUGGAACCCCACACCCCUCAUGGAACCAGUGUCCACCUCCCAGUCACAGUGUGACCCCAGGGAACUCUUGCCUGCUUGCUUUAAACCCACCACUUAAAAGUCUCCACAGAAAACCUGUUUGAAUAGUACCCUUGACCCAAUAAGGGCAUUGGCCCCUGGGUGUCUCUCUCUCUCUCUCUCUCUCUCUCUCCCUCUCUCUCCCUCUCUCUCUCUCGCUCCCUGACCUCUGCGUGUGGACUCCAGGCAUGCCAUAUACCCCUCAGGACCUGAAGCAAAAGAAUGAAUUAAAGAAAACUCCAGAGAAUGAGCUGACAACCUACUCCCUGGUCAGUGGCUCUCCAUGCCUACCUGUGGUCUCUUGGACACCCUUGCAGAAGAUGACUUCCUGGGAACUCUUCUGGGAGUGAAUGUUAUCAGCAAAUUCCCAAAACAACACCCCUUAGACAAAAAGCCUCCUCACCUAUGCAUUGCCUAGACCACCCACUAAAGGUGAUGGCCACAAAGAGGUGGAUUUGUUGAGUUGGUGCCAUUCCUUCUACUGCCAGCUUCACCAAAACAAUGACACAGUCUUCCUUCCGCAUGGAGACUCUUCUCUUUCCUGUGUUGCAGUGGAUGCCUCCUGCAGAUAAGAAAUGCUUAACUGAGAAAUGCUCAUGUUGGGAUAUCAUCGAUGAGACUUUAAUUUGGGCAUGGUGACUGUUUCCCUUGCUGCCACUUGACUCAAUCCCAGGAGCCUCAGUAGAGGAUAUAAUAUUACACAAGAUGCUCAAAAUGGUGGAAUUGCUCAGUGCUCCCAUAAAUAUACAUUUAUAAUUUUCAUUUGCCACAUGGUAAACUGAAAAAUACAGACUAUAUUAAAAAGAAACUGCAUGAUUUUUUUUCAAAAAUUCAAAGCAUAUUUAAAUAAUAUAUAAAUUAAAUGCCCUCCUCUCUUCCAAUUCUGUCCCUAUAGUUUUCCUCUAUUAAGUGAACUACAUGCAUUCUUUUAGUGGAUAGAUGCACACAAACACACAAGCCAUUAUGGGGAAGGAUCCACGUGUGUGGCCAUAUUGUAACACAUUUUUCUGCAAAUCACCUCUUUCAUUUAACAGCCCUUAUUCAAUGGCCUUUUUCUUUUUCAGUAGUACAUACACAUCUGUGUCAUUUGUUGAAUGACGACAUGAAUGUUUUGUAGAUAAAAUAUAAUUAAAUGUUUUAAGCAUUUCUCACUCAUAGAUAUUUAUGUUAGCACCAAAUUUCUGUGCAAUGAACCUCCCUAUAUAUCAGUAAUUUUGCAUUUGUCUAUAAUAUCAUAAUAAAUUACUUAUCAGUUGAAUUACUGGGAUUAAGUAUGUGCACACUUUAUAUUUAUAUUUUGAAAAUUAUUGCAAGAUUGCCUUCAAAAAUGUGGUUAACAACUUUAUCUUCAAAUGGCAAUGAAUGAGAUUGCCAGCUUUCCUACAGCCUCACAGACAAUGGAUUUUAUAAAUAUUUAACAUUUUUGCCAAUGUGAUCACCCAAACUAUUGUCUUAAAUUGUAUCUCUUUUGUUUUUGAGUUUGGUCAUUUUUUCAUGUUUAUUAGCCAUCUGUAUUUUUUAAUUUCUUCUUUAUGUCCAAUUUUGUGGGUGGGAGGAGGAUUUAGUCUCUUCCUGAUUUCGAAGAGCUCAUUUACUAUUUCGGGAAAUAAGAUUUGGAUUGUCAACCAUUAUAGCUAUUUUUUACACACUUUUCAACUUUGUUUUUGUUAUAAGAAUGUGUAUGAUUGUUACAUGUCCAAGUAUAACCAUGUUCGCUUUUAUGGCUUCUGAGUUUCAUGUCAUUUUUGGAAAGAUAUAUAUAUUGAGUCCAUAAAACCCUUCACCUAUGUUAAAUUCUAAUUCUUUUGUGUUUUUUUAAUUCAAAUUCUUAAAUCAUGAGAAAUUUUUUUGUUUUGAAAUCUUAAAGUUGCCAAGUUACUUGCCAUUACUUGCGAUUAUUUGCCAAUAAUUGCCCAUUUAUCUGUACCGCCAUCUUGCGCAUAUGCUGUACUCUCAUCUGUGACUGGCUCCAUUUUUGUUCUGUGGAUUUGUGUGUCUCUUCUUCUGCCUCCUGUCUCGUGUCUGCUCGUUGGAAGAAAUUACAGUUUAGACUGCAAUUUCAUCAACUUUAAUAAAUCAAUUGAGGGGAGAAUUGGUUUUUAAAAAUAUUAAGUAAGUCUUCGUAUCCAAGGACAAGGUAUGUCUUUUCUUAUUCAAUAAUUUUAAUUACUGUUAAUAUUUUCACUGUGGUGAUGGGAGUUUUUCUUUUAAUUUAUUUUCUUGUUCAUUUUUUGUAUCUAAAGUUUUUGUUUUGUUUUGUUUUGGGGGUAAGUUGUCACCUUACUGUUUCUUGUUGCUUUUCAGAUUUUUUCAAAGUAUAGACUAAAUCCUUCACAAAUAUUUAAAGUUUUUAUUUUCCCCCUUCAUAUUGAUCCUGAUUUUAGUUAUGUUGACAAAGUCCACAGACUGUUACUAUCAGAACACUUGAACAGUUAUGGAAAUAUUACCUACCCUUGAUUUAAUCAGAGUUUAAUGGUAUGCUUCUUUGGUUUGACUGGCACAUUGUCGCUGGUCAUUUCCUCCCAAAGACCACCAGAAAGAGCUAUGAUCAAGCAAAGCUGAGUUUGUUAAACUUACCUGCAGCAAGGGAAAACACCACCUUGAUAGGGUUUAAUAAUGUUUCAAAAUCAAGAAAUGAGGCUUUGGGGUCUGGGCAGGGAACUAAUUAGAAAUGGGCAAAAUUUGUCAUGCAAUACCUUGUGGGAAAGUGAGAUGAGGUUCUUAAUGUGAGUAUUGAUGGUGAAAUCAUUUUCUAGGUGAGCUGUUUGCCUAUAUAAAGAUGUUAUCAAUGACAGAAGAACUAUUUGCCUAGAUAAACAAACUGAAUUUAUUUAUUGGUUUACAGUUUUAUCUUGCUGGGCAGGACUCUGCUGGGGGUGGUAUCAGGUCUUAUUCCCAAUAGGUAAGUUAUUUGGAUAUGGGUGGUCUUAAUCAUCAAUGUGUAAAAUGCUGAUUUUAAGUGCGAAAUACUUUGUCUACCAUGUUAGGAAAGUCUGCCACCUUUUAUCUUUUUUAAGGAAUUUUAAUCAAAACCAGGUGGUAGAUAUAAUCAAAUUGUUUUGCAGAAUCAAUUUUCCUGUUCUCUUUAAAGACUUUUAUCACUGUGAAUUAAUUUACUAUUAUUGCAACUUCCUUUAAUUCCUUGAAUGAACAGACCCUACUGGUUUUAAAAAUGUUUUAUUCUUUUAAUUUACUACUUAAUUGUGGGUAUUUUAAUUUGAUUUGGAAUUUUUACAAGUAUACAACUAAGUGAAAUUGAUCUGUGAUUUUUCUUUUUUGUGCUAUUUUUGUCAUGUUUUGAUAUCAGAUAUUCUGGUUGUGUUAAAAUAAUUUUGAGGAUUUUCUUCUUAUACUGUGUUCUAGAGUGGGUAAAAAAGCCCUAGUCUCACUAUCAGUGUUUAAGUGAACACAUCAGUGACAUCAUCUGGACUCUCCUUUGUUUUUGCUGGUUUGGAGUUAGGACAUCUAGAAGUUUUUUUCUUUUUUUCCUUUUUUUGUAUGGUUAUUGCUUGUUCUUUGUUUUGUGUCAAAUUUAACCUGUUUUCUCUUAGCAAAUCACAGCUCAUGCAGAUUUUCAAACACAUUAGCCUUGUUAUACAAAGUGUUCUUUCAUCAUUCUAUUAAAUUUCCAUUUUCAUUCCAGUUAUAGUUAUUUCUGCUGUGCCUUUGUUAAUGAAUAAGUUUAAACAGUGGAUGUUUAGCAUCACUAGCCUUCCCCUUCCAUCUCCCUUAAUCAGGACCUUGGUAUAAUUUAUCAGGUAUUUUUUAAGGUUCUAAUUUACUUAUAUAUAUUGUUUCUGUAUUCUUUUGUUUCUUUUCUUAAUAAAUUCUUAAA